RNAcentral lists this ribosomal RNA (253 nucleotides) under uncultured bacterium. Its description in RNAcentral is "partial 16S ribosomal RNA". It matches the Rfam family "Bacterial small subunit ribosomal RNA", at positions 524 to 776 of the family's 1533-position model. The record is from RNAcentral.
UACGUAGGGGGCAAGCGUUGUCCGGAUUUAUUGGGCGUAAAGAGCGUGUAGGCGGCCAUACAGGUCCGUUGUGAAAACUGGAGGCUUAACCUCCAGACGUCGAUGGAAACCGUAUGGCUAGAGUCCGGAAGAGGAGAGUGGAAUUCCUGGUGUAGCGGUGAAAUGCGCAGAUAUCAGGAAGAACACCCGUGGCGAAGGCGGCUCUCUGGGACGGUACUGACGCUGAGACACGAAAGCCAGGGGAGCGAACGGG